UUUUUUUUUUUUUUUUUUUUUUUUUUUGCUUUUUAGGGCUGCACUUGUGGCAUAUGCAAGUUCCCUGGCAAGGGGGUGAAUCACCACCGCAACGUGGCAUCCAAGCCAUGUCUGCAACCUACACCACAGCUCACAGCAAUGCUGGAUCCCCGACCCAAUGAGCGAGGCCAGGGAUCGAACCUACAUCCUUGUGGAUAAUAGUUGGAUUUGUUUCCACUGUGCCACAACAGGAACUCCUAUGUAAAUUCUUUUAGACAACAGUUAUAGGAGAGGUCAAAGUUCCUUCCUGAGCUUUGAUUUGUUUUCAGCUUCAAAUAAUCCUCAUGCCAAGGAGACACUUUGGGAUGGCAAGUUUUGCUCCCCUACAGGUACGUACAAAAAAAAUCUUAUUAGGUAACUGCUAUUUAUACUCUCAGUUUACAGCCAAGAAGUUUGGAAAAAAAGAGCUUCCCCAAUAUACACAGGUAAUGUGAGUGGCAAAGCCAAGAUUCACACUCCAGUGACGUGACUCCAGAGCCUUCUCUUAACUACUGUCCUACAUAGGCCUAGUCAGGUCUUUAGUCUAGUGGCUAGAUUGAACUUGCAUUAUGACAUUUUAAUGUAUCAGUUAGGGUUCUCCCAAGACCCAGAAGCAACAGACACAGAACUAUAAAGAGAUUUAUUAUGAGUGCUUGGCUCGUGCAAAUGAUGGAGAUGGAGAAGUCCCAAGAUAGGCCUGCCAACUGCAGGCUGGAGGCUCAGGAAGCCAGUGGAGUAUGCAGUUCCAGUCCAAAGCUGACAGCCUGAGAACCAGGGCAGCCAAUGGUGUGAGUACCAGUCUGAGUCUGAAGACCUGAGAACCAAAAGCACCAGUGUCUAAGGACAAAGAAGAUGGAUGUUCCAGCUACGGCAGAGAGCAAAUUGCCCUUCCUCUGCCUCUUUGUUCUACUCAGACACUUAAUAAAUUGGAUGAUAUCCACCUGCAUUGUGGAAGGGCCAUCUUCUUCACUCAAUCCACUGAUUCAAAUGCUAAUCUCUUCCUGAGAAACCCUAACAGAUGCAUCUAUAAAUAAUGUUUUUUGUUUGCUUUUCAGGGCCACACCUGCAGCAUGUGGAAGUUCCCAGGCUAGGGGUCGAACUGUAGCUACAGCUUCUGGCUUAAACCACAGCCACAGCAACACAGGAUAUGAGCCCUGUCUGUGACCUACACCAUAGCUCAUGGCAACUCUGAAUCCUUGACCCACUGAGUGAGGCCAGAGAUCGUACCCAAAUCCUCCUGGAUCCUAGUUGGGUUCAUUAACUGCUGAGCCAUGAAGGGAACUACCUAUAAAUAAUGUUUACCAGCUGGCUGGGCUGAUACCUCAGGGCAGUCAAGCUGAUACAUAAAAUUACCCAUCACAGCCAGGACUCUCAAAGUUCUUUGUAUGUAGAAGUCCACCUUCUGAGUCAAUAAGAAGACCCAUUUUUACAUCGGGAAAUUUGUGAGGGUGCAGUAGAAAAGGUGGUAAAAUAGAAAUAAGACCAAGGGAUUCUGUGUUCUAAUAUUUUGAAGGAGAAUAUCAGAAGACAGUACAAUAUAUGCUGACACAUACGUGAGGCACUUUGGAAGCUCUUUAUAAGGAAGAGACCAUCGCCUACCUUUGAGCACAGCUGUUAGAGUGCAGUAAAGAGUGCUUCUCUGAGAUGAGGCCAGACAUUGAGCCUUAACAAAACAAGGCUCCCAAGUCUAUCUACUUGGUAAUAAAUGGAGUAGGAAUAUGACAACCUACCAAUUUACUUUCUGGCAGUAAGUGUAGCCUGGGGUUGUAUUUGACAUUGGAAGUCCAAACCUUGGCAGGAACUUCUACAGUGCAGGAAUUUAGGGACAUGGGCAGGGGGUGAAAGGACAGGGAGCAUGUGAAAUUUCUUGGCCAUAAACAGGAACCUCUUGUGGUAUGGGAAUUGAAUCUUUUCUCCCUAUUAGAAUAGUUCUCAGGGGGCUUGCUUGAGUUAAAAGUAAAAUGAAUUCCUCACCCUGGAGACUAAAAUGUCCUUUAUAAUUCCUGGCUUUAGCUUGGAAUAACUAAUAAGGUUUGUUAUUAAUGUUCCUCUUUGCCUUACAAUAACUUCAACUGGCAGAAAUAGGAUGUUAGCUCCCCUAUUGAGGAGGCUUGGGGAAUGAAGGACAGGGAUCAAAGUGUGGGAAAGGCCUCGUCCCUCCCCCUGGACCAAGGUUGUCAUUUAAUUUCCAUCAGUGUUAUGGCUUUAGAGGAGGGUAUAGAAUCAAGAAAAAAGAAUGAGUAAGCUGGCAUUUGCAAAAUGACUUCCAGACCUAUUAAAACAUCAAAGCCAAAAUAUCCCCCCAGGAAUGAACUUCAGAUGACCAUUUAAGAGAAGAUAUACCAAAGAAUGUUUUAUUUCAUAUUCACAAAACCUAAGCUUCCCAUCUCCACAGUAUUCUAUGUUUUUAUGUGUUUUAACAGCUUUUAAUGUUUUCAAAUAAAAAGAGCAAAAACACGAGCAUGUGGCCUGCCUAUCUAUCUAUCUAAUAUAUAAAUACUGAAACACAAUUCUUAGUCAUUCAGUAUCACUCCAGUCUUGGAAUGCCUGUCGUGGCUCAGUGGUAAAGAACCUAACUCAUAUACAUGAGGGGGUGGGUUCCAUCCCUGGCCUCGCUCAGUGAGUAAAGGAUUCAUCACUGCUGUGAGCUGUGGUGCAGGUCACAGACACAGUUCAGAUCCCAAGUUGCUGUGACUGUGGCAUAGGCCAGUAGCUAGUUCCAAUUUGACCCCAAGACUAGGAACUUCCAUACGCCACAGGUGCGGCCCUAAAAAGAAAAAAAGAAAAACAACAACAACAACAAAAAAAAAAACCCAAAACUCAUUCCAGUCUUAUCCAGCACAGACUGGAUGAAAGUUGAAAUUGUCAUCCUAGUUAAAAUAGAGAGACUGCUUUUACUGGAUUGCUCUUUACAGAGAUUUUUUAUUGUCGCAAAAAUGUUUCCAACCACUGGAACACAAAAAGGUACACAGAUACGUAAAGC
Molecule: long non-coding RNA, 3001 nt
Filed under: Sus scrofa (pig)
Lineage: Eukaryota; Metazoa; Chordata; Mammalia; Artiodactyla; Suidae
Description: lncRNA (ENSSSCG00005020604.1)
Source: RNAcentral